AUAUAUAUUGAGUAUUAAAUUUUUAUUAUUAUAUUCACUAAAAAUAAAUUUGAAUUUAGAUACGUGGCAGAUUUGUAUUCUGAUAUUAUUCUGAUAAUAAUAAUAUAUACCUAUGCUAAUAUGUAUAUAUAUAAGUAUGAACUAAAAUUAGAGCGAGUAAGACAUAAUACAAUUAAAGAUUCAUACUCGUAUUCAAAUUUCGUAUACCUAUAUUUUAUUCAAUAAAAUUUAAUAUUUUAAAAAACAUAAAAUCACUAUCUCUCUCUACAAUACAUAUUAAUUAUUAAAUAAUAAAAAAUAACCGUUAUUCUCUAAAAAAUUAAGUCGGUAGAAAAUGGUUUUUAAAUAUUUUUAUAUCUAACACUUUUCUCAUGUUUGGGCUCUAGAUUUUUUGUAAGGCCCCAUGACGUAGACUUGAAUUAAAUGAGAAGAAAUUAAUAAUAGUAGGAGUCUGAUGUAACUUGAACUUAGGAACCCCUGUUUUGAUAUUAUGUUAAAAAAAUUGAAAGAUCACACUUCAUUA
RNAcentral lists this long non-coding RNA (523 nucleotides) under Ananas comosus (pineapple). RNAcentral's name for it is "long non-coding RNA (ACOM_LNC013076)". The record is from RNAcentral. Lineage: Eukaryota; Viridiplantae; Streptophyta; Magnoliopsida; Poales; Bromeliaceae.